This 212-nucleotide long non-coding RNA is filed under the name Gossypium barbadense (sea-island cotton). RNAcentral describes it as "long non-coding RNA (GBAR_LNC011772)". The record is from RNAcentral. Lineage: Eukaryota; Viridiplantae; Streptophyta; Magnoliopsida; Malvales; Malvaceae.
GAACAGAGUCAAAAUGACUUCGAGGUCCCCUGUUCUGUUUUCAGAAAAUCAUUAUAAAUGGUACAAAAAUGGUUAUAAGAUAAAAUUUAUAUUCUUAGACUCCCUAAUGAGUCUAGUUUCAAAUGAAAUAAACGAUAACAUAUUUCGAAUUCUUUAUAAUGAGAAAUUUGAUUCGUAGUGAAGAGUGGUCAGAUUAGUCAAACAGUGAAACA